AUUGAACGCUGGCGGCAGGCCUAACACAUGCAAGUCGAACGGUAACAGGAAGAAGCUUGCUUCUUUGCUGACGAGUGGCGGACGGGUGAGUAAUGUCUGUGAAACUGCCUGAUGGAGGGGGAUAACUACUGGAAACGGUAGCUAAUACCGCAUAACGUCGCAAGACCAAAGAGGGGGACCUUCGGGCCUCUUGCCAUCGGAUGUGCCCAGAUGGGAUUAGCUAGUAGGUGGGGUAACGGCUCACCUAGGCGACGAUCCCUAGCUGGUCUGAGAGGAUGACCAGCCACACUGGAACUGAGACACGGUCCAGACUCCUACGGGAGGCAGCAGUGGGGAAUAUUGCACAAUGGGCGCAAGCCUGAUGCAGCCAUGCCGCGUGUAUGAAGAAGGCCUUCGGGUUGUAAAGUACUUUCAGCGGGGAGGAAGGGUGUAAAGUUAAUACCUUUGCUCAUUGACGUUACCCGCAGAAGAAGCACCGGCUAACUCCGUG
This 490-nucleotide ribosomal RNA is filed under the name uncultured bacterium. Its description in RNAcentral is "partial 16S ribosomal RNA". It matches the Rfam family "Bacterial small subunit ribosomal RNA", at positions 30 to 507 of the family's 1533-position model. The record is from RNAcentral.